UUGGGUUUAAAGGGUCCGCAGGCGGGAUUCUAAGUCAGUGGUGAAAGCCUACAGCUUAACUGUAGAACUGCCAUUGAAACUGGAAUUCUUGAGUGUGGUUGAAGUAGACGGAAUAUGUCAUGUAGCGGUGAAAUGCAUAGAUAUGACAUAGAACACCAAUUGCGUAGGCAGUUUACUAAACCAUUACUGACGCUCAUGGACGAAAGUGUGGGGAGCGAACAGGAUUAGAUACCCUGGUAGUCCACACCGUAAACUAUGAUCACUAGAUGUUGGCGAUAUACAGUCAGUGUCUUAGAGAAAUCGUUAAGUGAUCCACCUGGGGAGUACGUUCGCAAGAAUGAAACUCAAAGGAAUUGACGGGGGCCCGCACAAGCGGUGGAGCAUGUGGUUUAAUUCGAUGAUACGCGAGGAACCUUACCAAGGCUUAAAUGUAAAACGACCGGUUGAGAAAUCAAUCUUUUUUCGAACGGUUUACAAGGUGCUGCAUGGUUGUCGUCAGCUCGUGCCGUGAGGUGUCGGGUUAAGUCCCAUAACGAGCGCAACCCCUAUUUCUAGUUGCCAGCGAGUAAUGUCGGGAACUCUAGAGAAACUGCCCGUGCAAACGGAGAGGAAGGUGGGGAUGACGUCAAAUCAUCACGGCCCUUAUGUCUUGGGCUACACACGUGCUACAAUGGUCAAUACAGUGGGAUGCCAUCUGGUGACAGAGAGCAAAUCCAUAAAGUUGAUCCCAGUUCGGAUCGGAGUCUGCAACUCGACUCUGUGAAGUUGGAAUCGCUAGUAAUCGCACAUCAGCCAUGGUGCGGUGAAUACGUUCCCGGGCCUUGUACACACCGCCCGUCAAGCCAUGGAAGUUUGGAGUGCCUGAAGUCAGUAACCGAAAGG
Molecule: ribosomal RNA, 882 nt
Filed under: uncultured prokaryote
Description: bacterial SSU rRNA
Rfam family: Bacterial small subunit ribosomal RNA
Source: RNAcentral